RNAcentral lists this ribosomal RNA (253 nucleotides) under uncultured bacterium. RNAcentral's name for it is "partial 16S ribosomal RNA". It matches the Rfam family "Bacterial small subunit ribosomal RNA", at positions 524 to 776 of the family's 1533-position model. The record is from RNAcentral. RNAcentral also lists the same sequence under 1 other name.
GACGUAGGAGACGAGCGUUAUUCGGAUUUACUGGGCGUAAAGCGCGUGCAGGCGGUUUGGUAAGUUGGAUGUGAAAGCUCCCGGCUCAACUGGGAGAGGUCGUUCAAAACUGCCAGACUAGAGAAUAGGAGAGGGAGGUGGAAUUCCGGGUGUAGUGGUGAAAUGCGUAGAUAUCCGGAGGAACACCAGUGGCGAAGGCGACCUCCUGGCCUAUUUCUGACGCUCAGACGCGAAAGCUAGGGUAGCAAACGGG